AACGAACGCUGGCGGCAGGCCUAACACAUGCAAGUCGAACGAGACCUUCGGGUCUAGUGGCGCACGGGUGCGUAACGCGUGGGAAUCUACCCUUAGGUGCGGAAUAACUCAGAGAAAUUUGAGCUAAUACCGCAUAAUGACUCCGGUCCAAAGAUUUAUCGCCUAAGGAUGAGCCCGCGUAAGAUUAGCUAGUUGGUGAGGUAAAAGCUCACCAAGGCGACGAUCUUUAGCUGGUCUGAGAGGACGACCAGCCACACUGGGACUGAGACACGGCCCAG
RNAcentral lists this ribosomal RNA (278 nucleotides) under uncultured bacterium. RNAcentral's name for it is "partial 16S ribosomal RNA". It matches the Rfam family "Bacterial small subunit ribosomal RNA", at positions 29 to 334 of the family's 1533-position model. The record is from RNAcentral.